Long non-coding RNA from Agrilus planipennis (emerald ash borer), 876 nucleotides. RefSeq lists it as uncharacterized. The record is from RefSeq and is a predicted model, not a curated record. The transcript is spliced from 4 exons. NCBI's taxonomy places the organism in Eukaryota, Metazoa, Arthropoda, Insecta, Coleoptera, Buprestidae.
UGUUUACAUUAUUGCUACCUCUUUUAGGAAUAACAAGAAAUGAGACAUACAAUGCAUUAGCAUAUGCUAUGGGGCAUUUUGGAGAUGCUGUACAGGAAUACCUACUGAAUGGGGAUAAAGUGCCUGAUCCUACUAUAAGUAAGGAAUGCUUUCAAAUGGAAAUUAAUGUUAUAGUUGACAGUUUGAUAGCUCAUUUACCAAAUGUAAGGGACCCAAAGGAACAUUUACUAGCUUUAGCAUCUAUUUUGCCUAUUGCAAGUGGAGGAAAUGCUUACCAAUACAUGCAGAAAUUAUUACCUUUGGUCUUAAUUGAAACAAAAAGAAUUGUUUGCAGCUGUGCAGUGUUUGAGCUCCAUCAUUGAAAUAUUAUUACCAACUAAUGGGUUUAUUUUAGAACCACAUUUGAAUUCUUUAAUUGGGGUGUUGGUUGAUUUAGUGCAACCUGAACAGGAUUAUGCUCAACCUCAAUUAGUUCGUGCACACAAUGAAGCUUUAAGAUGUUAUGAAAAUCUGAGCAAACAUUUUACUGAUUGUUGUGUAGAUCAUUUGUUUAAGUUGUUGAAAUACCCAACUAAUGAUAAAAAUAGAUUGAAGUCAUUAAUAAUAUUCAACCAUAUUAUUAAUUCAGUUGACACUGUGAAGAAUAAAAUAGGUAACUUACUACAGAUUUUAAACGAUUUCCUGGAUAAUUCCAGCAUAGCAGUGAAAAAAAUGCUCCUUCGUACCAUAGUUACUUUAUCCUGCAAGAAUUUAUUACCAAAGGAUGCUCAGUUGCAUUAUUGUAACUUCAUGUUGCGCAUGUGUGAUUGUUUCACACAUGAAAAGUUGACAGCCAGUCAAGAAAUAAACUCUUUGAAAGAAACUGCACAGAACACA